UGGGGGAUAACGUUCGGAAACGGACGCUAAUACCGCAUACGUCCUACGGGAGAAAGCAGGGGACCUUCGGGCCUUGCGCUAUCAGAUGAGCCUAGGUCGGAUUAGCUAGUUGGUGAGGUAAUGGCUCACCAAGGCNACGAUCCGUAACUGGUCUGAGAGGAUGAUCAGUCACACUGGAACUGAGACACGGUCCAGACUCCUACGGGAGGCAGCAGUGGGGAAUAUUGGACAAUGGGCGAAAGCCUGAUCCAGCCAUGCCGCGUGUGUGAAGAAGGUCUUCGGAUUGUAAAGCACUUUAAGUUGGGAGGAAGGGCAUUAACCUAAUACGUUAGUGUUUUGACGUUACCGACAGAAUAAGCACCGGCUAACUCUGUGCCAGCAGCCGCGGUAAUACAGAGGGUGCAAGCGUUAAUCGGAAUUACUGGGCGUAAAGCGCGCGUAGGUGGUUUGUUAAGUUGGAUGUGAAAUCCCCGGGCUCAACCUGGGAACUGCAUUCAAAACUGACUGACUAGAGUAUGGUAGAGGGUGGUGGAAUUUCCUGUGUAGCGGUGAAAUGCGUA
Molecule: ribosomal RNA, 560 nt
Filed under: Pseudomonas sp. R12-6
Lineage: Bacteria; Pseudomonadati; Pseudomonadota; Gammaproteobacteria; Pseudomonadales; Pseudomonadaceae
Description: bacterial SSU rRNA
Rfam family: Bacterial small subunit ribosomal RNA
Source: RNAcentral